Molecule: RNA transcript, 2534 nt
Organism: Platichthys flesus (European flounder)
Lineage: Eukaryota; Metazoa; Chordata; Actinopteri; Pleuronectiformes; Pleuronectidae
Gene name: ubiquitin-conjugating enzyme E2 G1-like
Exons: 6
Source: RefSeq, a predicted model, not a curated record
CAGCUGAACCUUGUGUCAAAACACAGGGAACUCAGCAGCAGCAGCAACAUCUCGGUCGGACUCAGCUUCACCUCUGUGUUCUCCUCGGAAAGUAUUCGUCGCGAAGUGUUUUCCAUCCACGUCCUCGUACCAUGACCGAACAAUCAGCACUACUUCUUCGAAAACAACUGGCAGAGCUCAACAAGAACCCCGUGGAGGGCUUUUCAGCUGGCCUCAUAGACGAUGAUGACAUAUACAAAUGGGAGGUUGUGAUCAUUGGUCCACAAGAUACCCUUUUUGAAGGAGGUUUUUUCAAAGCAUACCUAACCUUCCCUUAUGAUUAUCCUCUACGGCCUCCAAAGAUGAAGUUUAUCACUGAACUCUGGCACCCGAAUGUUGCAAAGAAUGGGGAUGUUUGCAUCUCGAUCCUGCACGAGCCGGGCGAAGAUAAGUUUGGUUAUGAAAAGCCUGAGGAGCGUUGGCUUCCAAUCCACACAGUAGAGACAAUCAUGAUUAGUGUUAUCUCCAUGCUGGCGGACCCCAACAGUGAUUCACCAGCUAAUGUGGAUGCGGCGGAGUCUGAUGUCGCUCCCACAGAAAGAGUGGAGGGAGGACCCUAACGGUGAAUUUAAGAGGAAGGUGGCUCGCUGUGUAAGAAAAAGUCAAGAGAUGGCGUUUGAUUAGGAAUCACUUGUAAAUUCCAGGUUAAAGGAUGCCUUCAGAGGGAAAAUUUCAGCAAAAGGCUUUUGCACCCCUUGUUUUGCCAGUCGAAGGAAUUGGUUGACCCCAACCGCAUUACUUUGAGCGGUUGUCAUUUUCCGCAAGAUGAGCCAAUUUGAGAACCUUACCAGCAAAAUUAACCUGUUUCCUACCUGGAAUUGUAUAUUUAAUUUUAUUUAUUUUGAAAAAAUUAAUGAUGUAAGAUAUGUCACUACUGUAAAUUAACUUGCUUUUUUAUCUGCUGCUGAACAGUUUCUACUUUAUACCAGGUUUCUUAUGCAAUUUAGUGGUCAAGAUUGUGUAAAACAAACAAAAGCCCGUUGUCAUUAGGUCGUAACUCGUCCUCCCGCUGCACUUGUUCCACCAGAUUAACGUCGGCCCGCUAAUCUCCUUCAUUGGUGUUAUUUAUUUUCAACACUGUCAUUGAAUCACUAUUGCCUUUUGUUGGCCUCACCUCCUCACAGUUUGUUUGUUGCUCAGAGGGACAGGUUGAGAUCUUAAAAAGGAACUUUUCUUUCUGAGGAACAGCCUCCUGUUAGUUUUUUGUUAUGUUGGUGAACGUCUGACUCUCAAGCCUGCAUGAUCUUCUUAAACAGCCGUUAUCUGUUAUUGCCAGCUGUGGAUGAACACAUGCAAGGGAUCUGAGUGAUAUCGUUUUCGACCAUGAUGAUGUGCACUAACAGAAGGUUCCAGACAACUUCUCCGUAUCAGACUUUUGCUCAAACUCAAUUUUUAGCGAUCAGUAAAAUCAUCAUUGAAUAUUCGUGACUCUUUUCCUCAACACAUGGCCCUCAUCAUCAAUGAAGAUGUUUAUUAUUCCCCACUCAGUCUAAUGACUUCACAACGCUACGAUCAAUCAUGGACAACCAAAACCAGUCUGUGAAAAUUACCUAAACUGUGAUUAUUCCUCGUGUCCACUGGUUACCUGGCGUUUGAGCUUUUCCUUUUUCUAAGGAACUAAUUUAAAAAGGGUUUUUGGGUUGUUCUUGGUAACAUGAAUUUAGGGGCACCAUAGUAGAAUAUUAGGCUAGUUGUUCUUUCCUUCUUUGUUGUGGCACAUUUGGCUCUCGAUCGAUGUGUCGUUAAACCACGAUGUGCAAGUCACAUUCACUCGUGGGUUUAGACUCUGAGGACAUUGGGUAGAUUGCUGAGUUACUCAACAUCUUGAGUUCUGAUUGGUGCACACCUGAUGAUGAUGUUUUCACCUUAUACUUUAUCGCUGAAUUUGGGCUGGGAUUCUUUAUAGACACUUGAAAAAGAGAACUCACCACUAAGUAAAGUAUAAGUUAGUUUCGUGAUGGGGAAUGAACACUAUAGGUAUUAUUUUUAAAGACCAUAAACGCUAGGGUUCAGGUGAAGUCUUGUUCACUUUCAUUGAUGGUGUUGCUGACUAUUAGGCCAUGAUGACAUCUACUUUGAAUUAUGAAAUCCAUAUUUAUAAUUAUGUGACUGACAUUGAAUAACAGCUAACCAUCUUUUGGCGCAUGCAAUCAGGUUUUGAAGGAGUUGGAUAUGUUUUGAAUAGUAUACCAUUGUUAGUACACUCUGGGUGUCAUGUGUACAGUUGGUAGAUUUCUGUAGACUUGAUGAUCACAUAACUGCUGUCGACAUUACCUUUUUAAAUUUUCUAACCUACCAUGACCUCCUCUGACCGGUGUUCACUGUAUUUGCACAGAUUCGGUGCGUUUGAAAUGUCAUUAAGCAAUACGCUCUGAAAAUGGUGUGUCCAGGUUAAUCCACCCAUACGCCAUUCUUUGUUUUGAGUUUUUCUUUUUUCCAUUUUGUGUCAAUGCAAUGUAUAUUGGACAUGAUGCUCAAUAAAGUGUGUAAACAGA